GUCUAUAGCCAUACCACCCUGAACGCACUUGAUCACAUCUGAUCUUGGAAGCUAAGCAGGGUCUGGCCUGAUUAGUAGAACUUGGAUGGGAGUUUUGGAAA
This 101-nucleotide ribosomal RNA is filed under the name Echinops telfairi (small Madagascar hedgehog). Lineage: Eukaryota; Metazoa; Chordata; Mammalia; Afrosoricida; Tenrecidae. The record is from RNAcentral.